Molecule: long non-coding RNA, 3058 nt
Filed under: Equus asinus (donkey)
Lineage: Eukaryota; Metazoa; Chordata; Mammalia; Perissodactyla; Equidae
Description: lncRNA (ENSEASG00005029078.1)
Source: RNAcentral
GGAGGAAGAGGCACAAGGACUGGGAAGUGGAGAUGGAAAAUUUGGGUCCUAGGUGAAGCGGCUGACAAGAGGUUCUGCUGCGUCACCAGCAGUAAUGUUGAACUGUUAGAGCAGCUUUCAUGCUGAAUAGUGGGCCUUCCCACUGCAGGCCUGGCGAGGGAUCCAGCCAUUGUCCCGAGGGACAGAGAGCGGGGCCAAGAGCAAGCCACAUAUCUGUGCAGAACUCCGUCAAUACUGAGUCUGAGAGAUGGUACUCCUUUUCAGGAUAAAGAGGACAAAGAAGUCGUGUGUGGAGGGUCGUCCAGAGACUGUUUUGGUGGUGUCUGGAGAACGGAUUGGCGAGGGGAAGGGCGGAAGCGUGGAAGCGUGGAGACCAGCGGUUAGGAGGCCCUCGCAGUAGACCAGUUGUGGCAUUUGGGAUCUGCCUCAGCAUGUCCUGACGAGUGGAGCCGUGUCCGCACCCAGGAUCUGAACCAGCGAAACCCUGGGCCACUGAAGCAGAGCGCACAAACUUAACCACUCGGCCAACGGGCCUGCCACAAAGACAUUCAUGAAAAGGACUCUGGCGCUUACUCUAGAGUACAGCUUCCUGAUAAACUUUCAGAUCGUAAAACUGAACUGGGUAAGAAAUUACAGAAUUCUAAUGGAGAAACUGAUGACUUCAUAAAUCUGCUAACAGAAGAUUAAGAUCAAGAAUCGAUUAAACAGGACUGUAUGAACUGAUAAGGGUAAUUGUAAUUUUUUAUAACCUUUCUUUGAAAUAUUGUUGAGUUUUUGAUGUUUUGUUUUCUUGGAUUUAAGGAAAUCUUUUUCUCUUUUCUCUUAUGCUAACUAUGACUUAUAGCAAUUUGGUGAAAUUAUACCUUUGUGAUCAGAACUGAAACAUUUAUCUUUUUCUCCCUACCUGAUCCCUCCAGAACUUGGAAACUCUUUGUGAGUGAGUAUGGUUAUUUCAUGGCAAUAUAGUUAUUUGCAUAAGUUCAAUAUGAAUCUGUUCUCCUUAUAACAGGACACAUCUGGAAACAUUGGUUAUCUUACCAAGGCUUUGACUGGAAUGUCAUAUUUGAGAGAAACAUACAGACUCAGAUAUGACAAUACUGCCUUUGAGGAAUAAGGUUGACUUUCUGGACUAAAGCCACUUGGAAAUAUUGGCCUGGUACCUUGUUUACAGAGAUUCCAGCAAUCUUACCUUGUAAGUAAGGAAGCUCACUUAUCUGGCAGGUGCAAGGAACCUCGAAAUAUUUUGGGGGACUUCUAGAAGAGAGGAGUCCACCCAAAUCUGUAGGUAUUGCAGGCAAAAUCUGAUGGAAAGUCCUUGGCUUGGUUUUUCUGGCCUCGAGAGGCCUUUAAAAUUCAAUCUGAGAUUCCUCAUUAAAAAAUCCAGCAAAGCAGAUUUAAAAGAGCCUAUAUGAUCAAUUGCUAUUCUUGCUGCACUUAUGUAAAUACUUGGACCAAGUUGUAUUGAAACUACACUUAUUUUUCAAACAAGUUUAUCUUAAUUUGGCUAUCUUUGUAAAAAUGAGGGUGAUUUUAGAGAGAAAAAUUAUGUUUCAGUAGAAGCUAUAGUACACAUUCAUGGAUAUAUUUCUAGCUCUUCUCUUCUACAAGAUUCAUGUAUUACUAAUCAUAAUGUCUCCUUGUGGCCAUCCGUCUCUGAUGCCUGGGAGCUCCCUGGCCACAAUUAGACCUUUCCCUUCAACUCUAUUGCCCAAAUACUGACUAAAUUUGCCUUGUCACAGGUGGAUCAUAAACAAUGAGUUGCAAAGGUAAAGUCCCCAACCUAUUAAUACACACAGAAUGGACUAUAUCAAAUUUGGGACAAAUAUAUUUGGUACAUUGCUAUUAGUGGUCAACUCAGUCGAAAGGCCACUCUGUGUUGGAAAUAAACCAAUCACACUUGUGAUACGUGGCCUAAUAGCACCCAACCUAUGGGACAAAUUCCCCAUUAUAUGUGUUCUCAUAUCAUAGCCUUAAAAAUGCUGAUUGGUUUGGGACUGACUGGGAUAGAUGGCUCAGCAUUCAUUGGUUAGCCCCUAACAGCAGUCAGUGGUUAUGUGGCUCCAACUUAUGGCCUUGGCUGCUGCCUGGAUGGACUGGACGAUGCACCCUAGGCUUCAUCUUGAUACAAGGUAGAACUACGUUUGCUAUAUCUUCUCCUGCUAACCUACCCAACCUAUGACAACGCUGGACCCGUUCUGUCUUCCACUGGUAUGAUCACCUUGCCUCAACUUUCCUUCCCCAAUUAGGAAUCGAAAGUAUCAUCUGGCACGUGGAAGCCCUAAACAAAUUUCCUAUCUGAUAUGAGCCACCAAAUUAAAUCUGUGUUUGACCCUUCCUUAUCCCUAAAUGAUUGGUUAGACUCCUGGUCAGGUCCAGGUUUCUUGACUACUAUCAAAGCCAUAUUCAUUGGGUUAAUCAUACUGCUUGUAUAUCUUAUUAUAAUUUGUUGUCUAAUUCAUUGUUUGUCUUCCUCAUGUCAACAAAGUUUCACCUCCUGGACCACUUCUCAUCAAAUGAUUCUCUCAUCUCCAGAGGAUCUGUAUACCUUGUCAGCCUUGGACUCACAACAUUCCGGUCCACUGAACUUCCUGCCUGUACCCAUAUGGCCCCAUUUAGGGACAGCUCUACGACCUUGUACAGCUGGAAGCAGUUACAGAAGAUUGACCAUCAUCCAUAUCCCCAAAAGAUUUCGGGGCCAAAUGGGUUCAGGGGGGAUUUUAUGAUGAGGAUCAAGGCUGCCCCAGGGAGAGAAGCCCAAGGUGUCCUGCCCUACAUACUGAACUAUAUCAUCCUCUGGGAAGCACAGGAUGUCCUGACCUGAUUCAGCCUAAUUCAUAUCCAAAGUUAUAGGACCAUCCAAUAAGCAGACCCCACCUGCACUGAUGCCAUUUUAAUGAUUUUUUUCAUGAUCUUUCCUUUGUCUUGUAAAGAAAUAACUCACAUACCUAUACCUUAUAAAUUUAGCCCUACCCUCAACCCAUUACAGCUCUUACUGCCCAUGGGUCCUGUCCCCAUGCUACUCCAUGCUAUUCUCUGAAUAAAAGAACACUGCUGCCAG